GGGCCCGCACAAGCGGUGGAGUAUGUGGUUUAAUUCGAUGCAACGCGAAGAACCUUACCAGGGUUUGACAUCCUGCGAAUCUCUUGGAAACGAGAGAGUGCCUUCGGGAACGCAGUGACAGGUGGUGCAUGGCUGUCGUCAGCUCGUGUCGUGAGAUGUUGGGUUAAGUCCCGCAACGAGCGCAACCCACGUCGUUAGUUGCCAGCAUUUAGUUGGGCACUCUAGAGAGACUGCCGGUGAUAAACCGGAGGAAGGUGUGGAUGACGUCAAGUCAUCAUGCCCCUUACAUCCUGGGCUACACACGUGCUACAAUGGUACAGACAGAGGGCAGCCACCUGGCGACAGGGAGCG
Molecule: ribosomal RNA, 351 nt
Filed under: uncultured bacterium
Lineage: Bacteria
Description: bacterial SSU rRNA
Rfam family: Bacterial small subunit ribosomal RNA
Source: RNAcentral